AGCCGGCAAGCCGCUCCCACAACACACCCCGACCGCUCUGUCUGUUUGCUCAGGUGCCAAAGUAUGUUAAACCAACCAAGUCUCUUUAAAGCCGUUACAGUGAUUGUCUGCUGCAAACAACUAGUUCGGAAAAUAUAGCGUGUCCAUAAUUGAAGGUACGUCCACACGAUGCCUCAUUCCUCGUGCGCAGUCGCAGACGCACGGGAAUAAAAGAUACACCUCAUCAGAAACAACUAACAGGAAAAAGUAUUGAUCUUUGGAAACUUCAGCUACAGAUACACCUUGUCAGAAACAACUAAAAGGAAAAAGUACUGAACUUU
Long non-coding RNA from Schistocerca piceifrons (Central American locust), 320 nucleotides. RefSeq lists it as uncharacterized. The record is from RefSeq and is a predicted model, not a curated record. NCBI's taxonomy places the organism in Eukaryota, Metazoa, Arthropoda, Insecta, Orthoptera, Acrididae. The transcript is spliced from 2 exons.